Molecule: ribosomal RNA, 253 nt
Filed under: uncultured bacterium
Lineage: Bacteria
Description: partial 16S ribosomal RNA
Rfam family: Bacterial small subunit ribosomal RNA
Source: RNAcentral
UACGGGGGGGGCAAGCGUUGUUCGGAAUUACUGGGCGUAAAGGGCUCGUAGGCGGCCAACUAAGUCAGACGUGAAAUCCCUCGGCUUAACUGAGGAAGUGCAUCCGAAACUGGCAGGCUAGAGUACUAAAGAGGGUCGCGGAAUUCCCGGUGUAGAGGUGAAAUUCGUAGAUAUCGGGAGGAACACCGGUGGCGAAGGCGGCGACCUGGGUAGAUACUGACGCUGAGGUGCGAAAGCGUGGGGAGCAAACAGG